UGGGGAAUAUUGCACAAUGGGCGCAAGCCUGAUGCAGCCAUGCCGCGUGUGUGAAGAAGGCCUUCGGGUUGUAAAGCACUUUCAGCGGGGAGGAAGGCGUUAAGGUUAAUAACCUUGGCGAUUGACGUUACCCGCAGAAGAAGCACCGGCUAACUCCGUGCCAGCAGCCGCGGUAAUACGGAGGGUGCAAGCGUUAAUCGGAAUUACUGGGCGUAAAGCGCACGCAGGCGGUUUGUUAAGUCAGAUGUGAAAUCCCCGGGCUCAACCUGGGAACUGCCUCUGAUACUGGCAAGCUUGAGUCUCGUAGAGUGGGGUAGAAUUCCAGGUGUAGCGGUGAAAUGCGUAGAGAUCUGGAGGAAUACCGGUGGCGAAGGCGGCCCCCUGGACGAAGACUGACGCUCAGGUGCGAAAGCGUGGGGAGCAAACAGG
This 429-nucleotide ribosomal RNA is filed under the name Chloroflexota bacterium. RNAcentral describes it as "Chloroflexi bacterium partial 16S ribosomal RNA". It matches the Rfam family "Bacterial small subunit ribosomal RNA", at positions 355 to 776 of the family's 1533-position model. The record is from RNAcentral. Lineage: Bacteria; Bacillati; Chloroflexota.